GAUUGAACGCUGGCGGCAGGCCUAACACAUGCAAGUCGAACGGUAACAGGAAGAAGCUUGCUUCUUUGCUGACGAGUGGCGGACGGGUGAGUAAUGUCUGGGAAACUGCCUGAUGGAGGGGGAUAACUACUGGAAACGGUAGCUAAUACCGCAUAACGUCGCAAGACCAAAGAGGGGGACCUUCGGGCCUCUUGCCAUCGGAUGUGCCCAGAUGGGAUUAGCUAGUAGGUGGGAUAACGGAUCACCUAGGCGACGAUCCCUAACUGGUCUGAGAGGAUGACCAGCCACACUGGAACUGAGACACGGUCCAGACUCCUACGGGAGGCAGCAGUGGGGAAUAUUGCACAAUGGGCGCAAGCCUGAUACAGCCAUGCCGCGUGUAUGAAGAAGGCCUUCGGGUUGUAAAGUACUUUCAGCGGGGAGGAAGGGAGUAAAGUUAAUACCUUUGCUCAUUGACGUUACCCGCAGAAGAAGCACCGGCUA
RNAcentral lists this ribosomal RNA (483 nucleotides) under uncultured Escherichia sp. Its description in RNAcentral is "bacterial SSU rRNA". It matches the Rfam family "Bacterial small subunit ribosomal RNA", at positions 27 to 499 of the family's 1533-position model. The record is from RNAcentral. Lineage: Bacteria; Pseudomonadati; Pseudomonadota; Gammaproteobacteria; Enterobacterales; Enterobacteriaceae.